GACGAACGCUGGCGGCGUGCCUAAUACAUGCAAGUCGAGCGAAUCUUUAGGAGCCUGCUCCUAAAGGUUAGCGGCGGACGGGUGAGUAACACGUGGGCAACCUGCCUAUAAGACUGGGAUAACUUCGGGAAACCGGAGCUAAUACCGGAUAAUCCUUUCCUUCACAUGAAGGAAAGCGUAAAAGACGGUGCAAGCUGUCACUUAUAGAUGGGCCCGCGGCGCAUUAGCUAGUUGGUGAGGAACGGCUCACCAAGGCAACGAUGCGUAGCCGACCUGAGAGGGUGAUCGGCCACACUGGGACUGAGACACGGCCCAGACUCCUACGGGAGGCAGCAGUAGGGAAUCUUCCGCAAUGGACGAAAGUCUGACGGAGCAACGCCGCGUGAGCG
Molecule: ribosomal RNA, 389 nt
Filed under: uncultured bacterium
Lineage: Bacteria
Description: bacterial SSU rRNA
Rfam family: Bacterial small subunit ribosomal RNA
Source: RNAcentral